UACGUAGGGGGCAAGCGUUGUCCGGAAUCAUUGGGCGUAAAGCGCGUGUAGGCGGUUCGGUAAGUCCGCUGUGAAAGUCGGGGGCUCAACCCUCGAAUGCCGGUGGAUACUGUCGGGCUAGAGUACGGAAGAGGCGAGUGGAAUUCCUGGUGUAGCGGUGAAAUGCGCAGAUAUCAGGAGGAACACCGAUUGCGAAGGCAGCUCGCUGGGACGUUACUGACGCUGAGACGCGAAAGCGUGGGGAGCAAACAGG
RNAcentral lists this ribosomal RNA (253 nucleotides) under uncultured bacterium. RNAcentral describes it as "partial 16S ribosomal RNA". It matches the Rfam family "Bacterial small subunit ribosomal RNA", at positions 524 to 776 of the family's 1533-position model. The record is from RNAcentral.